RNAcentral lists this ribosomal RNA (510 nucleotides) under uncultured bacterium. RNAcentral describes it as "partial 16S ribosomal RNA". It matches the Rfam family "Bacterial small subunit ribosomal RNA", at positions 28 to 507 of the family's 1533-position model. The record is from RNAcentral.
GACGAACGCUGGCGGCGUGCUUAACACAUGCAAGUCGAACGAAGAGCGAUGGAAGCUUGCUUCUAUCAAUCUUAGUGGCGCACGGGUGAGUAACGCGUAAUCAACCUGCCCUUCAGAGGGGGACAACAGUUGGAAACGAUUGCUAAUACCGCAUACGAUCUAAUCUCGGCAUCGAGGAGAGACGAAAGGUUGCCUCUACAUGUAAGCCAUCACUGAAGGAGGGGAUUGCGUCUGAUUAGCUAGUUGGAGGGGUAACGGCCCACCAAGGCGAUGAUCAGUAGCCGGUCUGAGAGGAUGGACGGCCACAUUGGGACUGAGACACGGCCCAGGCUCCUACGGGAGGCAGCAGUGGGGAAUCUUCCGCAAUGGACGAAAGUCUGACGGAGCAACGCCGCGUGAGGGAUGACGGCCUUCGGGUUGUAAAGCUCUGUUAAUCGGGACGAAAGGCCUUCUUGCGAAUAGUGAGAAGGAUUGACGGUACCGGAGUAGAAAGCCACGGCUAACUACGUG